AGAGGGUUAGCCAAGUUGGUAAGGCAAUGGACUUUGAUUCCAUCAUGCAGUGGUUCGAUCCCACUACCCUCCGCCA
This 76-nucleotide transfer RNA is filed under the name compost metagenome. RNAcentral's name for it is "tRNA-Gln". It matches the Rfam family "tRNA". Rfam says of the family: Transfer RNA (tRNA) molecules are approximately 80 nucleotides in length. The record is from RNAcentral.